UACGUAGGGUGCAAGCGUUGUCCGGAAUCAUUGGGCGUAAAGCGCGCGUAGGUGGCUUCGUAAGUCCGUUGUGAAAGUCAAAGGCUCAACCUUUGAAUGCCGAUGGAUACUGCGAAGCUAGAGUACGGAAGAGGCGAGUGGAAUUCCUGGUGUAGCGGUGGAAUGCGCAGAUAUCAGGAAGAACACCCGUGGCUAAGGCGGCUCUCUAGUACGGUACUGACGCUGAGACGCGAAAGCGUGGGGAGCGAACAGG
RNAcentral lists this ribosomal RNA (253 nucleotides) under uncultured bacterium. Its description in RNAcentral is "partial 16S ribosomal RNA". It matches the Rfam family "Bacterial small subunit ribosomal RNA", at positions 524 to 776 of the family's 1533-position model. The record is from RNAcentral.